This 207-nucleotide ribosomal RNA is filed under the name uncultured bacterium. RNAcentral's name for it is "partial 16S ribosomal RNA". It matches the Rfam family "Bacterial small subunit ribosomal RNA", at positions 568 to 774 of the family's 1533-position model. The record is from RNAcentral.
CGCGUAGGUGGUUCGUUAAGUUGGAUGUGAAAUCCCGGGCUCAACCUGGGAACUGCAUUCAAAACUGUCGAGCUAGAGUAUGGUAGAGGGUGGUGGAAUUUCCUGUGUAGCGGUGAAAUAGCGUAGAUAUAGGAAGGAACACCAGUGGCGAAGGCGACCACCUGGACUGAUACUGACACUGAGGUGCGAAAGCGUGGGGAGCAAACA